CCAAUCAAAUUCCGUGAUAGCUGGUUCUCUCCGAAAUGCAUUUAGGUGCAGCGUCGGGGAUUACGUCCGGGGGGUAGAGCUACUGGAUGCUUGAGGGCCCGUAUCGGGUACCGACAGCAGCCAAACUCCGAAUACCCGUGACGCGUAUCCCGGCAGUGAGUCGGCGGGGGAUAAGCUCCGUCGUCGAAAGGGAGACAGCCCAGAUCGUCGUCUAAGGUCCCCAAGCGCGUGCUAAGUGGGAAAGGAUGUGGAGUCGCAUAGACAGCCAGGAGGUUGGCUCAGAAGCAGCCACCCUUGAAAGAGUGCGUAACAGCUCACUGGUCUAGUGGUUCCGCGCCGACAAUGUAGCGGGGCUCAAGCACGCCACCGAAGACGCGGCAGCGUCCGUUUGGAUGCUGGGUAGGAGAGCGUCCCCAUCGGGGCGAAGCGGCGGCGCAAGCCUGCCGUGGACCGUUGGGGAGUGAGAAUGCAGACAUGAGUAGCGAGAGGCGGGUGCGAAUCCCGCCCGCUGGAUGACCAAGGGUUCCGGGGCCACGUUCGUCGUCCCCGGGUGAGUCGGGUCCUAAGGCGAGGCCGACAGGCGUAGUCGAAUGGAUGAACGGGCUGAUAUUCCCGUACCGGCAGUGAACCGAAACAACCGAGGCCUGGGGCGCUAACCUCCGGGUCCGUGCCGUCUCCCCUUUCGGGGGGUCGCGGCGCGGGCGCGUUGGGAUCCCCCCUCGUAGUAGGUCAGCGCAGGAGUGACGUAUCAGGGCAGCCGGCCGCGGAGGUGGUUUUCCGUGGUCAAGCGUUCGAGCCCGUCCCGCAGGCAAAUCCGCGGGGCGUCGGGGCGAGGCGUGAUGAUGGGGGCCUUACGGCCCGAAUCCGGUGAUCCGUGGUGCCGAGAAAAGCUUCGGCGUCAGGCGCGUUGCCGCCCGUACCCCAAACCGACACUGGUGGUCAGGUAGAGAAUACCAAAGCGAUCGAGCGAAUCCUGGUCAAGGAACUCGGCAAAUUGCUCCCGUGCCUUCGGCAUAAGGGAGACCCCCUGCGGUGAUGAGCGGCGGGGGGUGGCACAGGCCAGGGGGUAGCGACUGUUUACCAAAAACACAGGAGCGUGCGAAGGCGCAAGCCGCUGUAUACGCUCUGACGCCUGCCCGGUGCCGGAAGGUUAAGAGGAUCCGUCAGCUUUCUGCGAAGCGGUGAAUUCAAGCCCCGGUAAACGGCGGUGGUAACUAUAACCAUCCUAAGGUAGCGAAAUUCCUUGUCGGGUAAGUUCCGACCUGCACGAAUGGCGUAACGACUUCCCCACUGUCUCGACCAGGAGCUCGGCGAAAUUGCAGUACGAGUAAAGAUGCUCGUUAAGCGCAGAAGGACGAAGAGACCCCGGGACCUUUACUAUACCUUGGUAUUGGCAUUAGGCGCGGAUUGUGUAGCAUAGGCGGGAGGCUUCGAGGCGGGUGCGCCAGCAUCCGCGGAGCCGCAAGGUGAAAUACCGCUCUGUUCUCGUUUGAUGUCUAACCUCGAACAGUCAUCCUGUUCAGGGACAGUGCCUGGCGGGUAGUUCAACUGGGGCGGUUGCCUCCCAAAGAGUAACGGAGGCGCUCAAAGGUCCGCUCGGCCCGGUUGGCAAUCGGGUGUCGAGUGUAAUCGCACAAGCGGGCUUGACUGCGAGAUCGACGGAUCGAGCAGGGACGAAAGUCGGAGAUAGUGAUCCGGUGCCGGCGCACGGGCGCGGCAUCGCUCAACGGAUAAAAGGUACCCCGGGGAUAACAG
This 1755-nucleotide ribosomal RNA is filed under the name human gut metagenome. RNAcentral's name for it is "bacterial LSU rRNA". It matches the Rfam family "Bacterial large subunit ribosomal RNA", at positions 829 to 2480 of the family's 2925-position model. The record is from RNAcentral.